This 277-nucleotide long non-coding RNA is filed under the name Equus caballus (horse). RNAcentral's name for it is "lncRNA (ENSECAG00000058468.1)". The record is from RNAcentral. Lineage: Eukaryota; Metazoa; Chordata; Mammalia; Perissodactyla; Equidae.
GUCAGGCAUGUUAAAUUUCAAUUACACAUUCUGAAUUUUGGCUUUUAAAUUAUUUUUAGCUUCAAUGGUUUCUCUAACAGUCCAAGCUUCUGACAGGGGAAGAGAAGACGUCACUGAAACUUAUGCCAUUUCUCCUUCCACACAGUUUUACAAAAAGGCUAUGGAGCAGAUGGCGACGCUGUUUACCCACGAGGCAUCCUACACAGGAAAAUCUCCAAACUAAGCAAAUUCUCACCUAUUGUUUGGUGGAGAACUCUGCCUUGUCAGCAUUAACUGG